UCGACCUACGGGAGGCAGCAGUGGGGAAUAUUGCACAAUGGGGGAAACCCUGAUGCAGCGACGCCGCGUGAGUGAAGAAGUAUUUCGGUAUGUAAAGCUCUAUCAGCAGGGAAGAUAAUGACGGUACCUGACUAAGAAGCCCCGGCUAACUACGUGCCAGCAGCCGCGGUAAUACGUAGGGGGCAAGCGUUAUCCGGAUUUACUGGGUGUAAAGGGAGCGCAGACGGCAGUGCAAGUCUGGAGUGAAAGCCCGGGGCUCAACCCCGGAACUGCUCUGGAAACUGUGCGGCUAGAGUACUGGAGGG
RNAcentral lists this ribosomal RNA (305 nucleotides) under uncultured bacterium. RNAcentral describes it as "bacterial SSU rRNA". It matches the Rfam family "Bacterial small subunit ribosomal RNA", at positions 332 to 656 of the family's 1533-position model. The record is from RNAcentral.